This 1802-nucleotide long non-coding RNA is filed under the name Homo sapiens (human). RNAcentral's name for it is "long non-coding RNA NONHSAT180595.1". Lineage: Eukaryota; Metazoa; Chordata; Mammalia; Primates; Hominidae. The record is from RNAcentral.
ACCGCACCCCGCGGACUCAGAAGCGAGCGGCACCCCGGGACCAUCCCACAGCAGAUCCAGUGGCCGCCAACGUCAGGCUGGAGUUGCCUCCUUCGUGGAUGUUGGAUGUGGAAGCCCAGGAGCCCCCCAAGGGGAAAUGGUCGACGCCGCCCUUCGACCCGCGCUUCCCCAGCCAGAACCAGAUCCGUAACUGCUACCAGAACUUCCUGGACUACCACCGCUGCCUCAAGACCAGGACCCGCCGCGGGAAGAGCACGCAGCCCUGCGAGUACUAUUUCCGCGUGUACCACUCGCUGUGCCCCAUCAGCUGGGUGGAGAGCUGGAACGAGCAGAUCAAGAACGGGAUUUUCGCCGGCAAAAUCUGACUGCCCCAGCGCGGCUUCCUCUGAAGAUGCAGUGAUCCUGCAUCUUUUUGUCUCGCGGAGCCCCGGGUCUCGGUUAUCCACCCCUACCUCCCAGUGUCUAAGCCACGAAUAAUGGACACACCCUAGAUGAGCCAUCCCCCAGGAUGACGCCACCUCUGAGAUCUUGGUCUCCUGGCUCCGUCUCUGACCACAACCCAAGAAUGGGGUGAGGGCACAGGGUGUGGACUCAACUACAGGAGGGCUUCCUGUUCAUGCAACGUCCCCAGAGCCUUGACGAAUGCACAGAGGCGCUGGCAGAACCACGGGGGCAGGACCCCUCUCUGAGUCACAGAAUGGAGCUAAGUUGGUGAGGUCACCCAGCCACCAGCCUUCGAGUUCCUUGUUUCCCUUGCUCUGGUCUCCACGUGUAUGAUGGGGUUCUCAGGCCCAGGCUUCGACCAGAGGACCCUCUGCCACCACCGUUUCUUCCUGUCCUUGAGCUACCUUGGUGAACUCAUGACCCCAGGCCCCUGCUCCACCAGGAUGUCCCCCAGGUCCUGCCAGCUGGGAAGUGCCAGCAUGAACGCCUCCAACUUCGUGGAAGCCAGGGUCCCCUGCAGCUGAGGGACGCCAAGCAGACACACCUGCCCUCCCCAGCCAGCUCCUGUCUGUAUGGGCGAGAUGACUGAGAGCGCCCACGUCCCUAAGGCUGUCCUGACCCUCCAUGCUGCGACAAGGACAGGGAAUGGUCGGUCACUAUGGGCCUGGUGUCUCCCCUCCCCCACCACCCGGUGCUGCCCAGCUCAAGCCAGAAGCUGACUUUGGCCGCCAUGGGGACAUCAGGCAAGGUCUGGAGACAUUUUUGGUUGGGGCAGAGGCAUGCUCCUGGCAUCGAGUGGGUGGAGACCAGAGAAGCCGCUCAACAUCCUGCAAUGCAUGGGACAGGCCCUGCCUAGAAACACCAGCUCAGCAUGGCAGCAGUGCGGAGGCCAGGAAACCCUGAUCGCCAGUUUCUAACGCCCUCACCAUUUUUAUUUUUAUUUUUAUUUUUUUUGAGACAGAGUUUCGCUCCUGUCACCCAGGCUGGAGUACAAUGAUGCGAUCUCAGCUCACUGCAACCUCUGCCUCCCGGGUUCAAGUGAUUCUCCUGCCUCAGCCUCCCGAGUAGCUGGGAUUACAGGCAUGCACCACCACGCCCAGCUUAUUUUGUAUUUUUAGUAGAGACGGGGUUUCUCCGUGUUGGUCAGGCUGGUCUCAAACUCCUGACCUCAGGCAAUCUGCCCACCUCAGCCUCCCAAAGUGCUGGGAUUACAGGCGUGAGCCACUGCACCCGGCUCACCACUAGUUUUUAGCCCUUUUUGUUGGGGGUGGGGUGGGGGCAGAGGAGAGGCGGAUACAGAAACUUGUGAGAAUGUGAUGAACGCUCUGAACCCCCUAUAAAAAAUGUGCAUGUAAAUA